GAUGAAGAACGUAGCGAAAUGCGAUAAGUAGUGUGAAUUGCAGAAUUCAGUGAAUCAACGAAUCUUUGAACGCACAUUGCGCCCUUUGGUAUUCCUUAGGGCAUGCCUGUUCGAGCGUCAUUUAAACCUUCAAGCUAAGCUUGGUGUUGGGUGACUGUCCGCUUCACGGCGGACUCGCCUCAAAAUUAUUGGCGGCCGGAACAUUGGCUUCGAGCGCAGCAGAAACGCGAACUCGGGCCCGUCGUAUUGGCUCCCAGAAGCUAUCUUCACAAUUUUGACCUCGGAUCAGGUAGGGAUACCCGCUGAACUUAAGCAUAUCAAUAAGCGGAGGA
Molecule: unclassified non-coding RNA, 332 nt
Filed under: soil metagenome
Description: partial contains 5.8S ribosomal RNA, internal transcribed spacer 2, and large subunit ribosomal RNA
Rfam family: 5.8S ribosomal RNA (bases 1-120)
Source: RNAcentral